GGUUUGAGAGGUUAGGAACGUGGGUUGGUGGGGUCAGAAGCAGAGGGGUCGCUUAAUUCCGGGACGGCUGGGCUUGCUGGGGGUGCGGGGCGCCUUGUGUGUAACCCCCAGCACAGUGAGUUCCUUCUCGGGUGGAAGGGAGCCGAGGGCUGCGGGCCAGAGGAGCGAAGAUGCGCCGCCCAGAAGAGGGAUGUCAGUCCCGGAGAGGGAUGCGGUUGCUGUGAGGGGCGAAGGCCCAGCCAGCAUCUCUUGCUGCACGGGCAACUGCGCCAGCCUCGCCUGCGGGGUCCCUUGAAGGACCGUGUCGACUGGAGAUGAUCUGCUCCCCUGGAGCUCACCCCGUAGUGCACCCCCGCCUGUGCUCCCUGCCAGCGCUUCUUAAAGCUAAGCUUCAGGCAGUGCAUUUUCUUUGGAAGUCUUUUUAAUCCAAAGCACUGCCCCAUCGUAAUCACCUCUUUGCUCUAGGAGAGUGAAAACAGCCUUUCUCUGUGGAGUGACAUUUUUUAAAAAUUAUUUUAAUUUUUUUUGGCUGUGUUGAGUUUUCAUUGCUGAGCACGGGCUUUCUCUAGUUGCGGCCAGUGGGGGCUACUCUUAAUUGCAGCGUGCGGGCUUCUCAUUGCGUUGGCUUCUCUUGUUGCAGAGCACGGGCUCUGGGCGUGUGGGCUUCAGGAGUUGCAGCACGUGGGCUCAGUAGUUGUGGCUCGCAGGCUCAGUUGCUCCGCAGCAUGUGGGAUCUUCACGGACCAGGUCCUGAACCCAUGUUCCCUGCAUUGGCAGGUGGAUUCUUAACCACUGAGCCACCAGGGAAGUCCCUGGAAUGACAUAUUUAAGACAGCCUCUUAAUACCAUUUAUGGCCUUGAGUUUGCUACCCUUUUGCUGAGAAGAACCUGAGGGCUCUUCUGUUACCAAAAUUAAUAGUUUCUUAGCAGGGAAAAUGGUAGCAUGUGUAUCUGUUACCCAGACUCUUGCUUCUUUUGUAAAGACUUUGAUAGAAAUACGUAACUCAGAUGGCAAGACAUAUUACUCCAUUUGAACAACUUUCCUUUUUUUUUUUUGCAUUCAGGUAUAUGUUUUUUUCCCCCACUUAAACACUGGGCAUAUUUGUAAUUUAGACAAGUUUCUUUUAGACUGAGGGUGCUUAGAGAAUGCCAGCUUCCUUUGGCAUAAGGUCUAGGGAUGUGAAUUGGCUUUCUAAAAACACAGUCAAUAUAGGAAUUCCCUGGUGGUCCAGUGGUUAGGGCUUGGCGAUUUCACUGCUGGGACCAGGUGUGGAGAGUGGUGGUGGAAGUCAAUAUAUUCCAAAAUAAAGGUCCUGAUCAUUUGCAGGUUGGGGUUAUGCCCAGCUCUGCUUUCUGCUCUAGUUGUUUACUGUAUCAGAUAAGAAUGUUGAAGUCAGUGUCCAAACAGGUUUGGGACUGAAUCCUGCUCUACUACUUUCUGGUUGUGUGUCCUUGGGAAAGUUUCAUAAUGUCUAUUUUGUUCACCUACAGCAUGCUGGUAUCUGUUUAUACACUUCAGAGGGCUGUUGUAAGAAUUAAAUGAGACACGUGUAAGGUAUUUAGUUCACUGCAUGCCACAUAAUAGGCAGUAAUAGGGUGAAAAUGAUAAGUACACCAUCUUUUGUUUUCCAUAUGUGUGCCUUCUUUUAAGCUCCCAUUUUUCCUGAAUUGUGCUAUUCUUUAUAUCCUGAAAUGCCAAGUCCAUGUAUAACUGCCUUCCAGUGAAAGGUCACAUUUCCAGUCCCAUAAAGGAGCUCAGGGAUUGUAGUUGGGUCCAGAAGAUAAAGUUUAGGCUGAAAAGGAUAUUGUGAUUAUGAUAGAGAGGAAGAGGCAAGGAAGAGUUUCCUCGUUGGCCUCCCUUUUAUGUUUAGAGAUUAUUGGCUAUAGUUAUUCUAGCCCUACCUUGUCUUAAUUUCUUGUUACUAGUUAAGUAAAUCCUAACUUUCUUUUGAAAUUGACUUCAAAGGUUUCAUCCUUCUGUCAAGGACCCACUUAUUCUUUGUAAACUAAACAGGGUGCUUUCUCUUUAGCUGCUUCUUAUACCUGCAUAUUGAUUCCUUAAUGUCUUAUUGUUGGUGCCUUUUCCAAAAAACUACUUCAUUUUUUCAAUUAAAAGUGUUUCUAAAUUCCAAGUGGACAGUGAGUAUUAGUAUUCAUUCUGUUUUUGAAGCUUGAUCCUCAGACUUUAAUGUGAAGGUUUAAUUUUUAAAUUAUUUCCCUAGGAAAGGUAAAUCAGGUAAACUCGUAAUUCUAAAUACUUGCAUCUGAGAUAAGAUUUUCUAAAAGAAUUUCUAAGGCCCAUGUUUCUUAUUUUUAGUAUGGUCCACAGAACAUUCUAUGCUUACAGUUGUUAUGUUGCAGUAGUUGGAGAGGAAGGAAGAAGGAGAAAUGUUAACAAAUGCCUUCAAGCAUAACCUGUUUCCUUCCACAGGAUUUCUGAUCCCUAACCUGACUGUGAGUGACCAUUGUGAUGGAACAAGAGCAAAAACUGUUGGUCUCAGAUUCUAAUAGCUUCACAGAGAGGGAGAGUUUGAAAAGCACUUUUACAGGAGAUGAAAGUAAGAAUAAUUUGGAAACUGUUCAACACAGUAACUCUAAGGCAGAUAAAGAGAGAGCCUCAAAAUGGUCUAAAAGUGAUGGCCCACAAAAUUGUAAGCAUGAGGACACAAAAAAAAUGCCAUUGACAUGGUCCCAGGGACGUGAAACUGAGUGUGAUGAUUCCUGUGAGAAUGAUGGCAACUUGGAGAAUCAGGGAAAUUCUACAGGAAAAGAGGAGGAAAAACCCAAUCACUGGGAAUGGGACCCAGGACAACAUACCAGGGCUGCCAUCCAGCAGACUUCAUCCUUUGGGGACAAACCUUACAAAUGUUCUGAAUGUUGGAAAAGCUUCAAUAAUAGUUCUCAUCUUCGAACUCACCAGAGGACCCACUCAGGAGAAAAACCUUAUAAAUGUUCUGAGUGUGGGAAAUGCUUCAGUAACAGCUCUCACCUGAUUCAGCAUCUGAGAACACACACAGGCGAGAAGCCCUACCAGUGUCGUGAAUGUGGGAAAAGCUUCAGCAACACCUCCCAUCUUAUUAUCCAUGAAAGAACUCACACGGGAGAGAAACCCUAUAAAUGUCCUGAGUGUGGGAAGAGUUUCAGUAGCAGCUCUCACCUUAUUCAGCAUCACAGAUCACAUACAGGUGAAAAACCAUAUGAAUGUCCGGUUUGUGGGAAAUGCUUCAGCCACAGUUAUGUCCUAGUAGAACAUCAGAGGACCCACACUGGAGAAAAACCUUAUAAGUGCCCCGACUGUGGGAAGAGUUUUAGUCAGAGUUCUAGUCUGAUUCGCCACCAGCGGACACACACAGGUGAGAAGCCCUACAAAUGUCCUGAGUGUGGAAAAAGCUUUGGUUGCAAUUCUACUCUAAUAAAGCAUCAGAGAAUACAUACAGGAGAAAAACCCUAUCAGUGUACAGAAUGUGGGAAGAAUUUCAGUCGAAGUUCAAACCUUAUUACACACCGGAAGAUGCACACAGGUGAGAAAUCCUAUGAAACGUCUGAAUAUGAAGAAAGUUUGAGUCAGAACUGCAGUGUGAUAGACGAAUGCCGAAUCCAGCCAGGAGAGAAACCAUAUAAAUGUUGUGAAUGUGGAAAGAGUUUUGGCCUUAGCUCCCACCUCAUAAGACAUCAGAGAACACAUACAGGAGAAAAACCUUACAGAUGUUCUGAGUGUUGGAAAACUUUUAGUCAGAGUUCCACCCUGGUGAUUCACCAAAGGACGCACACAGGAGAGAAACCUUAUAAAUGUCCUGACUGUGGUGAGUGCUUCAGUCAAAGCUUUAACCUUAUCAGGCAUCGGAGGACCCAUGUAGGAGAAAAACCUUACAAAUGUACUGACUGUGAGAAAUGCUUCAGCAGAAGUGCCUACCUCAUUCAGCAUCAGAAAAUUCAUAUAGAAAAGUCUUCUGCAUCUCCUGAAGUUGAAGAUUUUCCUCAUGAAUGGACUUGGAAAAACUGUUCUGGGGAAAUGGCUCUUAUCUCUUCAUUUUCAGUCCCAAAUUCAUCUCCCUCCUGAGUCCCAAAGUCUGUUUUGUUUCCUUUCUUUUGUUAUCGGAGCAUUACAAUUAAGGUGUUCUCUGAUCACAGGGUUAUAAAAUUUCUUUGGUUUGUUUGCCAAAACAUUUGGGAAAAGUCAACCUCCCACCUUAGAGGUUGGGAAGACCCAGAUCAUCGGGUCAUCGGAUCUGCCCAGUGAGAGAUACUGCCAAUGAUGGAGAGAAAGAAGAAUAUUUUUUAUUUAAGGAUCAGCUGAGACUCACUUUGGGUUGAAACACUUUAAGAACUGCUUGGUGAUAUGAAACUGGAAAUCAAUUACAAGAAGAAAACUGGAAAAGUAAAAACACCUCACAAACACAUGGAGACUAGAAACAUGCUACUAAACAAUCAGUGGGUCAACAAAGAAAUCAAAGAGACAGAUGAAAAUGGAAACACAACUUUCUGAAAUCUAUGGGACACAGCAAAGGCAGUUCUAAGGGAGAAGUUCAUAAAGAUACAGGUCUACCUCAAGAAACAAGAAAAAUAUCAAUCUAAAUUAACAUUAAAGGAACUAGAAGAAGAGUAAGCAAAGCCUAAAGUUAGUAGAAGGAAGGAAAUAAUAAAGAUCAGAGUGGAAAUAGAUGAAAUAGAGACUAAUAAAACAAUAGAAAAGAUCAGUGAAACUAAGAGUCGGUUCUUUGAAAAGAAACAAACUUGACAUGUCUUUAGCGAGGCUCAUCAAGAAAAAGAGAGAGCCUAAAUAAAUAAAAUCAGAAAUGAAUGAGGAGAAAUUACAACCAAUACCACAGAAAUACAAAGGAUCAUAACAGAAUUCCUUGAACAAUUAUAUGCCAACAAAUUAGACAACAAAGAAGAAAUGGAUAAAUCUCUGGAAAUAUAUAAUCUUCCAAGACUGACUCAUGAGGAAAUAGAAAAUCUUAAUAGACCAAUUAUUAGUAAUGAAAUUGAAUCAGUAAUAUAAAAACUUCCAACAAGCAAAAGUCCAGGUCCAGAUGGCUUCAAAGGUGAAUUCUACCAAACAUUUAAAGAAGAGCUAUUACCUAUCCUUCUCAAAUUAUUACAGAAAAUUGAAGAGGAAGGAAUAUUUCCAAACUCAUAGUACAAGGCCAGCAUUACCCUGAUACCAAAACCAAAGACAUAACAAAAAAAGAAAAUUACAGAGUAAUAUCCCUGAUGAACAUAGAUGCAAAAAUCCUCAACAAAGGGACUUCCCUGGUGGUGCAGUGGUUAAGAAUCCACCUUCCAAUGCAAGGGUUUGAUCACUGGUCAGGGAACUAGAUCCCACAUGCAUGCCACAACUAAGAGUUUGCAAGCCACAACUAAGGAGCCCACCGGUCUCAAUUAAGGAGCACAUGUGCCACAAUGAAUGAGCCAGUGAGCCUCAACUAAGGAUACCACCUGCUGCAACUAAGAAAUAAAUAAUUUUUAAAAAUCCUCUACAAAAUAUUAGCAAACCAAAUUCAACAAUACUUUAAAAAGAUCAUACACCACGAUCAAGUGGGAUUCAUUACAGUGAUGCAAAAGUGGUUUAACAUCCACAAGUCAGUCAACAUGAUACAUCACAUUAAGAAAACAAAGGAUAAAAAUCAUGUGAUCACCUCAAUAGAUGCAGAAAAAGCAUUUGAAAAAAUUUAACAUCCAUUUAUGAUAAAAACAAAGUGGAUAUGGAGGGAACAUACCUCAACAUAAUAAAGACCAUAUGUGACAGACCCACAGCUAACAUCAUACUCAACAGUGAAAAGCUGAAAGCUUUAAGAGCAGGAAUGAGACAAGAAUGCCCAUGCUCAUCACUUUUUAUUAAACAUAAUGUUACAAGUCCUAGCCACAGCAAUUAGUCAAAAAAAAAAAAAAGGCAUCCAGAUUGGAAAGGAAAAAGUAAAACUGUCACUAUUUGCAGAAGACAUAAUACUAUAUACAGAAAACCCCAAAGACCCCACCAAAAAAAACUAUUAGAACUAGUAAAUGAAUUCUGUAAAGUUGCAGGAUACAGUAUUAAUAUACUGAAAUCUAUUGCAUUUCUAUGCACUAAUAACAGACUAUCAGAAAGAGAAAUUAAGAAAAUCCCAUUUAUAAUUGCAUCAAAAAGAAUAAAAUACCUAGGAAUAAGUUUAACCAAGGAGGUGAAAGACCUAUGCUCUCAAAAUUAUAAUGAGGAAAGAAAGGUAACACAAAUAAAUGGAAAGAUAUACCAUGCUCAUGUAUUGGAAGAAUCAAUAUCAAUAAAAUGUCCAUACUACCCAAAGCAAUCUACAAAUUCAAUGCAAUCCCUAUCAAAAUACCAAUGGCAUUUUUCACAGUAGUAGAACAAAUAAUCCUAAAAUUUCUGUGGAACAACAAAAGACCCCAAAUAGCCAAGCAAUCUUGAGAAAGAAGAGCAAAGUUGGAGGUAUCAUGCUCCCAGACCUGAAACUAUACCACAAAUUUAUUGUAAUCAAAACAGGAUGGUAUUGGCACUAGAACAGGCACAUAGAUCAAUGAAGCAGAAUAGAGAGCCCAGAAAUUAACCCACACUCAUAUGGUCAAUUAAUCUAUGACAAAGGAAGCAAGAAUAUACAAUGGGGAAAAGACAGUCUCUUUGAUAAAUAGUGUUAGGAAAACAAGACAGCUACAUGCAAAAGAAUGAAAUUGGACCUCUUUGUUACACCAUACACACAAAAAAAAAGAAGAAAAAAGAAAACAAAUGGAUUAAAGACUUAAA
Orcinus orca (killer whale) is the source of this 6739-nucleotide RNA transcript. It is a transcript of the gene named zinc finger protein 572, with no coding region annotated. The transcript is spliced from 3 exons. The record is from RefSeq and is a predicted model, not a curated record. Lineage: Eukaryota; Metazoa; Chordata; Mammalia; Artiodactyla; Delphinidae.